GAUGAACGCUGGCGGCGUGCUUAACACAUGCAAGUCGAACGGAAAGGCCCAAGCUUGCUUGGGUACUCGAGUGGCGAACGGGUGAGUAACACGUGGGUGAUCUGCCCUGCACUUCGGGAUAAGCCUGGGAAACUGGGUCUAAUACCGGAUAGGACCACUUCUUGGAUGUUGUGGUUGAAAGUUUUCUCGGUGUGGGAUGAGCUCGCGGCCUAUCAGCUUGUUGGUGGGGUAAUGGCCUACCAAGGCGUCGACGGGUAGCCGGCCUGAGAGGGUGUACGGCCACAUUGGGACUGAGAUACGGCCCAGAGUCCUACGGGAGGCAGCAGUGGGGAAUAUUGCACAAUGGGCGCAAGCCUGAUGCAGCGACGCCGCGUGGGGGAUGACGGCCUUCGGGUUGUAAACUCCUUUCGCUAGGGACGAAGCGUUUUUGUGACGGUACCUGGAGAAGAAGCACCGGCUAACUACGUG
RNAcentral lists this ribosomal RNA (468 nucleotides) under uncultured bacterium. Its description in RNAcentral is "partial 16S ribosomal RNA". It matches the Rfam family "Bacterial small subunit ribosomal RNA", at positions 28 to 507 of the family's 1533-position model. The record is from RNAcentral.